GAUGAACGCUGGCGGCGUGACUAAUACAUGCAAGUCGAGCGAAGCGGGGACGGGUGAGUAACACGUGGAUAACCUCCUAUACGACUGGGAUACAUUCGGGAAACCGGAGCUAAACCGGCUCCUUAUAGAUGGAUCUGCGCUGCAUUAGCUAGGUGGUAAGGUAACGGCUUACCAAGGCAACGAUACAUAGCAGACCUGAGAGGGUGCUCGGGCACACGGGAACUGAGACACGGUCCAGACUCCUACGGGAGGCAGCAGUAGGGAAUCUUCCGCAAUGGGCGAAAGCCUGACGGAGCAACUCCGCGUGUGUGAUGAAGGUCUUCGGAUCGUAAAACUCUGUUAUUAGGGAAGCAGUACCUAAUCAGAAAGCCACGGCUAACUACGUGCCAGCAGCCGCGGUAAUUC
This 405-nucleotide ribosomal RNA is filed under the name uncultured bacterium. RNAcentral's name for it is "partial 16S ribosomal RNA". It matches the Rfam family "Bacterial small subunit ribosomal RNA", at positions 28 to 526 of the family's 1533-position model. The record is from RNAcentral.